This 409-nucleotide ribosomal RNA is filed under the name uncultured bacterium. Its description in RNAcentral is "bacterial SSU rRNA". It matches the Rfam family "Bacterial small subunit ribosomal RNA", at positions 508 to 917 of the family's 1533-position model. The record is from RNAcentral.
UCAGCAGCCGCGGUAAUACGUAGGGUGCAAGCGUUAAUCGGAAUUACUGGGCGUAAAGCGUGCGCAGGCGGUCCGUUAAGACAGAUGUGAAAUCCCCGGGCUUAACCUGGGAACUGCAUUUGUGACUGGCGGACUCGAGUAUGGCAGAGGGGGGUAGAAUUCCACGUGUAGCAGUGAAAUGCGUAGAGAUGUGGAGGAAUACCGAUGGCGAAGGCAGCCCCCUGGGCCAAUACUGACGCUCAUGCACGAAAGCGUGGGGAGCAAACAGGAUUAGAUACCCUGGUAGUCCACGCCCUAAACGAUGUCAACUGGUUGUCGGGCCUUCAUUGGCUUGGUAACGAAGCUAACGCGUGAAGUUGACCGCCUGGGGAGUACGGUCGCAAGAUUAAAACUCAAAGGAAUUGACGGA